GCAGCACGGGAGCAAUCCUGGUGGCGAGUGGCGAACGGGUGAGUAAUGUAUCGGAACGUACCUUUCAGUGGGGGAUAACGUAGCGAAAGUUACGCUAAUACCGCAUAUUCUGUGAGCAGGAAAGCAGGGGAUCUUAGGACCUUGCGCUGAUUGAGCGGCCGAUAUCAGAUUAGCUAGUUGGUGAGGUAAAGGCUCACCAAGGCGACGAUCUGUAGCGGGUCUGAGAGGAUGAUCCGCCACACUGGAACUGAGACACGGUCCAGACUCCUACGGGAGGCAGCAGUGGGGAAUUUUGGACAAUGGGGGCAACCCUGAUCCAGCCAUGCCGCGUGAGUGAAGAAGGCCUUCGGGUUGUAAAGCUCUUUCGGCCGGGAAGAAAUCGCAUGGGUUAAUACCCUGUGCGGAUGACGGUACCGGCAUAAGAAGCACCGGCUAACUACGUGCCAGCAGCCGCGG
RNAcentral lists this ribosomal RNA (456 nucleotides) under uncultured beta proteobacterium. RNAcentral's name for it is "bacterial SSU rRNA". It matches the Rfam family "Bacterial small subunit ribosomal RNA", at positions 69 to 520 of the family's 1533-position model. Lineage: Bacteria; Pseudomonadati; Pseudomonadota; Betaproteobacteria. The record is from RNAcentral.